GUGUCAGCCGCCGCGGUAAUACAGAGGUCCCAAGCGUUGUUCGGAUUCACUGGGCGUAAAGGGUGCGUAGGCGGUCGGGUAAGUCUGAUGUGAAAUCUCCAAGCUCAACUUGGAAAUGGCAUCGGAUACUAUUCGGCUUGAGGAGUGGAGGGGAGACUGGAAUUCUCGGUGUAGCAGUGAAAUGCGUAGAUAUCGAGAGGAACACCAGUGGCGAAGGCGAGUCUCUGGACACUUCCUGACGCUGAGGCACGAAAGCCAGGGGAGCAAACGGGAUUAGAAACCCCUGUAGUCC
RNAcentral lists this ribosomal RNA (292 nucleotides) under uncultured bacterium. RNAcentral's name for it is "partial 16S ribosomal RNA". It matches the Rfam family "Bacterial small subunit ribosomal RNA", at positions 505 to 796 of the family's 1533-position model. The record is from RNAcentral.